GAGACCCACGCCAACAGUUGCCAGCACGUUCUCCGGAAUGGUGGGGACACUGUUGGGACCGCCUCUGCUAAAGAGGAGGAAGGGAUGGGCAACGGUAGGUCAGCAUGCCCCGAAUUACCCGGGCUACACGCGGGCUACAAUGGACAGGACAAUGGGAAUCGACACCGAGAGGUGAAGGCAAUCCCCUAAACCUGCCCUUAGUUCGGAUUGUGGGCUGCAACUCGCCCACAUGAAGCUGGAAUCCGUAGUAAUCGCGGAUCAACAUUCCGCGGUGAAUAU
RNAcentral lists this ribosomal RNA (279 nucleotides) under uncultured archaeon. RNAcentral describes it as "partial 16S rRNA". It matches the Rfam family "Archaeal small subunit ribosomal RNA", at positions 1047 to 1325 of the family's 1478-position model. The record is from RNAcentral.